CGAGAGGGCCGCUACCACGCGAGUGGAUGCCAAUCCCCAAAACCUCUCUCAGUUCGGACUGGAGUCUGCAACCCGACUCCACGAAGCUGGAUUCGCUAGUAAUCGCGCAUCAGCCACGGCGCGGUGAAUACGUUCCCGGGCCUUGUACACACCGCCCGUCAAGCCAUGGGAGCCGGGGGUACCUGAAGUGCGUAACCGCGAGGAGCGCCCUAGGGUAAAACUGGUGACUGGGGCUAAGUCGUAACAAGGUACC
This 253-nucleotide ribosomal RNA is filed under the name uncultured bacterium. RNAcentral's name for it is "partial 16S ribosomal RNA". It matches the Rfam family "Bacterial small subunit ribosomal RNA", at positions 1239 to 1500 of the family's 1533-position model. The record is from RNAcentral.